Molecule: long non-coding RNA, 2894 nt
Filed under: Gallus gallus (chicken)
Lineage: Eukaryota; Metazoa; Chordata; Aves; Galliformes; Phasianidae
Description: lncRNA (ENSGALG00010006003.1)
Source: RNAcentral
AGCUCCGUCAAAAGGAGAAAGAAAUUAGAUAACAAGUGCAUGCAUGUGUGAGUGCUUGUGGGACUAAAUUCAUGUGAAAUACUGGACCUGAUUGCUGGGCUCAUAAAAAGCAAGGGGAGAAAAUGGGAAGAACCAGACUAAGAAACCUCUUGGGAUGAGUUAAACAUGGGAAAAUUGCUCACUGGUUACUAUCACAGACAGAACAAACUCAAACUUAACUAUCUUAAGGCUGUUUUAUUCCUUUGCUCCAAACUACCAGCUUCCCACACCAAGUGGUGCAGCAGCAGCGUACUGUGUACAAGGAGCUAGGAGGGGAUGUAACCAGGACAGCUGGCCCAAACUGGUCAAAGAGAUAUCCAAUACCGCACGGCAUUGUGUUCAGCAAUAAAAGCUGGGACAAGGAAAGAGGAAGGGAUGAACUGUUGGAGUUGAUGGCAUUUGUCUUCACAGUGCUAUGGACAGUGGGAUUGAGUGCACCCUCAGCAAGUUUGUGAAUGACACCAAGCUGUGUGGUGUUGUCAACAUGCCUGAGGGACAGAAUGCCAUCCAGAGAGAUCCAGACAGGCUUGAGCGGUGGGCCCAAGUAAGCCUCAUGAGAUUCAACAAAUCCGAAUGCAAGGUCUUGCACCUGGAUUGUGGCGACAUCCACUACCGUACAAGGAGCUGGGACCAUCCCUUAAAGCUUAUAGGAAGAUGGAGCUAUUCUUCCUGCUGGGAUUAUUCUCAAGAGGGAGAUGUCCAACAACAAGAACACUGUCAUUGCUCCUGCAUCUUCCUGAACAUGCUGCUGCCAAGCUAGCCCAGGUCCCAGAGCAACACAGGGAGCACUAUUUCUGUAGGAGCAUCUGUCUGAGGAUGUGAAGUGAAUUUGGACAGUAGAGCUCAAAGACAUUGGAAGACAAAGAUGAGCCCUCUAGAACUCAUCACAGCAGGAUUUGAUGAACAAUGUGGUAAAAGCAACUGUAAAAUCUAAGGCUUUUAGUCAAGUAGUUUUUGGUGUUGGUAGACCUGAAGUACUUAGCCUUCAAUCUUCAGGCUGGCCUUGUGCUUGUGAAAUUACUCAAAACAUAAUUUGUCUUAACUUUUAGGAAAAAGACUUGUUCUUACCUAAUCCUUAUUAGAAAAUAUUUAUCAUGAGUGAAAUUGUCAUAGAGAAGAAAAAGCCAAAUGGUAAUUCUUAAUAAAAUGAAUGUAUGAAAACAGUUCAGUCAAUCUUUGCUGUAAGUUGGAGUGUGCUGUAAAGGGAAGGUGGCCUCUGGCAGGAGCUGUCUUUCAUCAGAACUUUAUGCACAUUUGGGAUUUUCAGCAUUUCAUCAGUGGGAAUCCUUAGGAGGCACUGAGCAAGAAGAUACAGGAAGAUCUAUUUUGAUUUCCCUAGGAAAAAUGCUGCUUUUGGAAGCCAAUUACCAAGGCCUCCAAUAUAUGUGGUGCUCUUCAUGACUCCAGACUGCCAGGAGACAGCCUAUAUUUGCAGCUCUGCAGCUAUGGGGAGGAACACUUUCCCAGCAUCUCUCUUGAAUGUAAAGGAGAUGAUCAUAAUUUAAGUUGCAUAAAUGGACAGCUGAAGUUAUUGCUAUUAUUUCAGCUAAUUUCUUCCAGUGACUUGGAAUAAAAACUUCUUCCUCUUAACUGGAAGAAACAUGAAUGGAAAUUAUGCUUAUUCCUUUGUGGUAACGGCUACAGAGGCCCUUCAAGAAGCAGCAGCAGUAGGAAUAAAAGAGAUUUUAUAAUAAAUACCCUGACUGCAAAACAAAUGUUUGCACCAUUCGGCUCUUAACACUAUGAACUCAGAUUUGCUAGAAAUGACUGGCAGUUUCUGUUAAAGACACUGCUUUUACCAGAUACUUUUUUGAGGACUGAUCUAUUACAAGUAAUUCUGUACCAAUGAAUUACCUGUGGUCUUUAUCAGUGAAAAAUACCAAGACUUAGAGUCUACAUAUACUGCACAUGCAUCUGUGUCAUCAACAAACUGUUCUGGAGGUAUGCAUCAAUGUAUAAAAUGUAAGAGUAGAUGUUAUUUGAAUAAAAGGGACCACUCUAUAUGUGGGGACUUGGAGUGAUUUUGUUACUUGGUUUUUUUUUGUUGUUUGUUUGUUUUGGUUUUUUUGUUUGUUUAUUUGCUUUUGACAGUGCAGUUGUUUGACCAGAAAUAGAAAUACCUAGAAGAGAAAUGCCAACUGGGCAUACCUGAGGAAGGGGUGUAACCACAGCCUCAUUAAUAACACACCACACAUUUAAAAGGAUGCAUUGCAGAUGCUCUGCAAACAACGGUGAUAACAUCCAACAAGUCCAGCCUGAUGUCUUCUUAGAAACAAACUGCCACCAGGAAUAUUACAUGUAUAGUAGCCUUCCAAAGAACAAUUGCUACAAAGAUCUGCUGCACAGUCUGAAAUGAAAGUAGAAGAUGGAAUAUCUAAUUCCAAAUGCUUCAUUCCUGUUAAAAACAAAGCUGAGAGGAUACCACUCUGAUUAUAUUAACCUGUUUCUAAAGAGAUGAGAAUUUUCCAGUAUUUUUCAUGCAUCAGACUUCUGCCCACAAAAAGGAGAUAUUUAGCUAUUUCCUGUUAUGCUAUGCUCUGCUGCUUUAGAUAUCUGCAAGCUUCUGAUAAAGAUUCACUCCUAGCAUGGGAACUGCAGAGAUUUGACAGACUUUGGGGACUUAAUUAGAAGAACUCUCCUUUGGCGUUCUUGCCACCAAUGAUUAAAAUCUCAAGCAAAUCUUUAAGACCUAGAGAAAGCUACGGGAUGCAUUGGGAACAUUGGCAGUUGUUGGAAAAUCCAACAGAAAAGGAUGAGCACUGAGAACACACAAGCUAUAUAUUAUACUAUAUAUAAUAUAGAGGGUGAUAUUUCUUAAGAUCUGCAAUAUCCAGACGUACUUUUAUUCAUGACAC